GAAAGAUUGUCCAAAUCUAGCAUUAGCAUCUCUGGCCUGCUGCUACGUGCCAUUGCUAUGGACAUUUACUUGCUUUGUUUGAUUGCACAAGAUUCAGUCCACCAUUUCCUUUUGGAAUCUCUUGCCGUCUCGCGUUUGAUAUUAAGCAUGUCAUUUACAUUUCGCAUGAUGGCCUCCCAAUCCUGAGUGGCCAAAAUUACACGAGUACAAUCAGAAAUUCUAGAUGUAUUUACAAGAUCUUUCAGCAUAGCUCGGAUGUAGGUUUAAAAUGUGAGAGUGGCCGUUGAGCAAUUGGUUAGCAAUGUAAUUUGAAAUGUAAACUUCAAUUGGGUUGAUAAAACAAAGUUCAAGGUGGGAUCCACUUCGAAUUGGCUUUGACGUCACGCUGGCUUGGCCUCACCAAUUUAUUGGCAUUGGUCCUCAGGACAAUGACGUGCAGCGUAACCUGAGGAGCUUGCCUAAACCAAUCGCAGUUAACUGCAUUCAAAGGAUUAUGGACCCACGAUUAGAAUAAAUGUGAGCUCAAUUAAAAGCUAAUGGAAACGAUAGACUUAUCUCAAUUUGUUUCAUGAAAAACCAAACCAAUAAGCGUAGAGAACACUCUUGUCACGGGUAACGUUUGAUGGACACUUUUCUUUUUUUUUAAUCGAAGUUUGAUGGAUACAUUUGGCAAAAGGCAGAAUACAAA
RNAcentral lists this unclassified non-coding RNA (688 nucleotides) under Hevea brasiliensis (rubber tree). Lineage: Eukaryota; Viridiplantae; Streptophyta; Magnoliopsida; Malpighiales; Euphorbiaceae. The record is from RNAcentral.